GACGAACGCUGGCGGCGUGCUUAACACAUGCAAGUCGAACGAAGAGCGAUGGAAGCUUGCUUCUCUCAAUCUUAGUGGCGCACGGGUGAGUAACGCGUAAUCAACCUGCCCUUCAGAGGGGGACAACAGUUGGAAACGACUGCUAAUACCGCAUACGAGCUAAUCUCGGCAUCGAGGAUAGAUGAAAGGUGGCCUCUACAUGUAAGCUAUCACUGAAGGAGGGGAUUGCGUCUGAUUAGCUAGUUGGAGGGGUAACGGCCCACCAAGGCGAUGAUCAGUAGCCGGUCUGAGAGGAUGAACGGCCACAUUGGGACUGAGACACGGCCCAGACUCCUACGGGAGGCAGCAGUGGGGAAUCUUCCGCAAUGGACGAAAGUCUGACGGAGCAACGCCGCGUGAGUGAUGACGGCCUUCGGGUUGUAAAGCUCUGUUAAUCGGGACGAAAGGCCUUCUUGCGAACAGUUAGAAGGAUUGACGGUACCGUAAUAGAAAGCCACGGCUAACUACGUG
Molecule: ribosomal RNA, 510 nt
Filed under: uncultured bacterium
Lineage: Bacteria
Description: partial 16S ribosomal RNA
Rfam family: Bacterial small subunit ribosomal RNA
Source: RNAcentral